GGAUUGAGAGCUUGCUCUCAAGAAGUUAGCGGCGGACGGGUGAGUAACACGUGGGUAACCUGCCCAUAAGACUGGGAUAACUCCGGGAAACCGGGGCUAAUACCGGAUAAUAUUUUGAACUGCAUGGUUCGAAAUUGAAAGGCGGCUUCGGCUGUCACUUAUGGAUGGACCCGCGUCGCAUUAGCUAGUUGGUGAGGUAACGGCUCACCAAGGCAACGAUGCGUAGCCGACCUGAGAGGGUGAUCGGCCACACUGGGACUGAGACACGGCCCAGACUCCUACGGGAGGCAGCAGUAGGGAAUCUUCCGCAAUGGACGAAAGUCUGACGGAGCAACGCCGCGUGAGUGAUGAAGGCUUUCGGGUCGUAAAACUCUGUUGUUAGGGAAGAACAAGUGCUAGUUGAAUAAGCUGGCACCUUGACGGUACCUAACCAGAAAGCCACGGCUAACUACGUGCCAGCAGCCGCGGUAAUACGUAGGUGGCAAGCGUUAUCCGGAAUUAUUGGGCGUAAAGCGCGCGCAGGUGGUUUCUUAAGUCUGAUGUGAAAGCCCACGGCUCAACCGUGGAGGGUCAUUGGAAACUGGGAGACUUGAGUGCAG
This 599-nucleotide ribosomal RNA is filed under the name Bacillus thuringiensis. RNAcentral's name for it is "bacterial SSU rRNA". It matches the Rfam family "Bacterial small subunit ribosomal RNA", at positions 69 to 651 of the family's 1533-position model. Lineage: Bacteria; Bacillati; Bacillota; Bacilli; Caryophanales; Bacillaceae. The record is from RNAcentral.